RNAcentral lists this long non-coding RNA (6041 nucleotides) under Bemisia tabaci. RNAcentral's name for it is "lncRNA ENSSSA2NGG009532". Lineage: Eukaryota; Metazoa; Arthropoda; Insecta; Hemiptera; Aleyrodidae. The record is from RNAcentral.
ACGCGCUGCCGGGCUGGGAGCCACGGCCGCUCAGCCGCGCCGACUCAGUCUCACCGCAUCCGUGAACGCGUCACAGGGACCGCUCGUUUCCGCCACAAACGCCCGCGAUCUCGAGAUUUAUAUAUAUAGACGUGAUAUACAUAUAUAGACGUGAUAUAUAUACAUAUGCUCUGCAAGUGAUUUUGCGAUGGUCGGAUUUUCAGUGUGAGUGUUUUUCGGAUUCGUUGGUCGUUUAGAGGUGUUAGGUUAAGGUUACGACGAUGUUUUACGAGGUAAAGGACAAGAGAAUCGAGAGCGCGACACAGCAGACUAAAUGGUGGGUGACGGCUGGGUUCUGCGGGGUCGUUGUCACUGGGGCCUUCAUUGGUGUUACACUAUGGCUAGGCGCGAGGCAGCAAAACACCGAGUCCAUCAUCACCGAUAGGAUCCUUAACUCGGGCGAUAAUUUUAAUUCUUUCAACUCCAAGUUCGAUGUUCUGUCCAGGCCAGCGCCUCCUCCAGUCGUCCCCGGCCCGGCCGAGUUCCCGAAGGACCCUGCGGAAGAGCGGCGGCCGCCAAGCUUCCCGCCAACGAACAAAAAGGCCAAGAUAGAGAAGGUGGUCGACUUCAUGAACGGCGAGACGGUGUCGACAUCGACCGAGGCCCCGCACUUCCCCACCUACGAGCAGGGCUUCAAGCCAAUCGUCCCGAACGUCCGGAAGCACGUUGUCGAUUCCACGGAAUCGGAAGAGCUCGCUGAAGGUCCCGACCCCAUGGAAGACAUCUACCCUACCGGCGGGAAGACCGACCAUCAGCCCGUCGCCAAGAAAUCCGAGGCCAUCUACCCCACCCACGAGUGGAUCGAGGAGGAGAAGGUCCACGAGGUCGAUUCCCUCUACAAGCCCGACACCCCCGUCGCCCCGAAACACAACUACAAAUUCGACGAGGUCUACGAGUCGCAGAUGACCGAGAUGGAGUCCCGCCGCGAUAACCUCAAGCCAGCCGAUCAGCGGGACGGGAAGUUCAAGCUCAAGACGAUCCCUGCCUUCACGUACAUGAAGGAGAACAAGUAUGCGGAGGCGGACAUCCCAGGGGCCGUCUCUGAGGACUACCCUUAUUACUAUCAGAAAGACCAGGAGUUCCACGGCCCUAACUACGACGGCGUCGCCCCCGAGGACGCCGAGUCACCCCUAGUCGCGUUCCUGAAGAAGCGGCUCAAGGACCUCAACGAGUGGUUCACCAAGAACUCCGGCGCGACCUCCCCGGACUGGAGCGACCUCCUCACUGCCGUCAACCAAUCCCUCUACAACAAAAACACAUCGAUGCUGUUCAAUAAAUUCAAGGAGAUGUACUACAACUCCUCCUCAGACGUUCAAGAAGUCCCACUCUCAUCCCUCAUCUAUCCCAAAAACCCAGCAGGGAUCGCAAAUAACUCGAACUUGAUAUCCUUCGGGCUUCUGGCCAUAGAUCUCUUCCUCCUGCACAACGUUCAGCAGAUCGCGUGGAACGAGGAGAACGAUAUCCGGGUGGAGAUGCUGAAGGACCCGGAUAUAAUGGCGCUCAACGCCCUGUUCCUGCCGCCCGAGAAGAUCCUCCAGAUGAAGAACCCCAACUCGAGGUUCUUCACCGAGCAAGAGGACGAGUCCAAGCAUGGCGCGCUCCACGAGCUGAUGGAGUUCGUCAACGGGGGCCUGAGGGCGGUGCUGAACCUGGGGAAGGCUUACCGGAGCUCCACGCGCGGGGUCGCCAGGAGCAACGGCGUCAACACGCUCGAUUGUAUCUGGACCCUCUACUGCCGGAACCUGGACAAGACGGCCAAGCUCAACGGGCCGUACGGCUUCCUCGCCAAGAUGAACAGCCUGGGUCUGCGGCUCAUGAUGGGCGAGUUCCCGGUUGAGCGAGCCUUCGAAAAUCUCAUCAGAGAAUCCACGCGAGGAUGGAGAGAGUUAGACUGCCAAAAAUUAUUCCCAAGGUGUGACGCAGAAGAGGCAAAGGAGGUAGUGAUCCAGACAGCUCUUGGUCAGAAUGUCCCGAAGUAGACAUUUGAAACGCGCCCUUUAAAGGCCUUAUUGCAACAAAAUGCAUGAGCAUAAUGAGGAGACAUCUACUUUUGAAAUUUCUUAAAAAUGCGUGUUCAGGUGAAAAAAGAUCACACGGGUUCUUUUUUUUCGAAAUUGUGGAUGUAGAUGGUUUCCUUUUGUGUAAAAGCCAACGUGCCUUUCAGACACUGUGUCGGCACUAAGCUGGAGGCAGAGUCAAAAAUUCUCGCCUUGAAUCAGCGCAGAACCCGGUUGAGCUUGAGUUAAGAGCUCGAAAUUUAUGCAAAAUGCAUCAGUUCCUAGAUUUUGCUAAUAUUCAAGUUAGAAGUUCUAGAAGUUUAGCGAGGGAGGGAUAAGAUUUUUUUCGAUUUUGCAUUUCGAAUGGGUGGCUGAAAAAGCAUUCUGAUGAAGGUCCCAAUCAGUGAUCAGUAUUUUAUUUUGACAAGGGUCAACUUCUGCGUUUGGGAAAAUGUUGUUGGGUUUUUGUGCGGUUCGUUUUUGAGAGACUCUGAUUUUAAAAUCAGCACAAACUAUGGAACGCUGGAACAACUACUUAAAAGUAUUCCCCGAAGUGUGUUCCAACCUCGAGGAAGACUUUUUUGCUAGCAGAACGUCCCACCGGAUGAAUUUGCAAGUGUGAAGUUUUCCACGGUUCAUUGGCGGGUCCAGAAAUUUGGCAACGUAGUUUUUUCCUCAUUUAAACACAUGAAAAUGUAUCGAUUCUAGGAGGGGCCAGGUGCUUCGACAAGAAUCGAUUAUUCAACACAGGUUUAAAUGGAGGAACUCGGCGAUGUCAAAUUACUGAAUCCGCCUCCGGUGAUUUUAAAACAGAUUUGAGCUGUUUAUCUUAGUGGCGCUCUGUAUUGUUAGCCAGCCAUCCUACUAAAAUUCUACAACUUUGAGUAUUACGUAAAUCUAUGGACCUGUGUUUUGUUGAGAAUGAAACGUCGAAAAAGUUUAUGAGAAUUCCUUAAUUUUUUUCAGAGAUUAGGAGUGUUCAAAGUUGCUCUGUAAAUUUUAUGAUGCAAUUUGAAUGCACCCGCACCCAAAGUGGGCCAAAUAUGCCAAAGAUUAUUUGUAAUUUUGAUAGCUACAUGCGCAAACUGAGUGCGUGACUGUUUUGUAGGAGCUAAUUAUUGAACGAAUCAAGCUGUGUAAGGUGAUAAUUGAUUUUGAUUGGAUUUCCAUUGCGUGUACAUGUAAAUUAACGGAACAAAGACUUUUGUACUUUUGUGUCGCAAAUUAAAGCAAUGGAGCUCCCGGAUCAAAUGGUAUUCCAGUGUGAAAUUUGUAUUUUUUGGCACAGAGAGGUGUAGUUAACACAGAAUACUUGAAAUACAGCUUUAUACAAUUUUUAAUGCUUUUUUGAAGGCAAAAUUUAAAAACCUUGGUCGUAUUACAUGGAAAAGUUAAUGCGACCCUAAAAAGGAAGAGGCAAUCGUGGUGUUAAAGGCUAUUUUAUUCGGCAACCUCAUCGUACAGUUGAAUUACAUUUUGCAACAAGGAACCACUAAUCACUAUCCCUGGCUCUCUCAUAAAAGCACAUAUCUGCAAAAGGAAACCAAUCGCAUCUAUGCUGUUUCUAAAAAGGACCAGAAAUAGUGGUUUCUUAUUGCCAAAUGCAACCCAUUUCAUCCAUCGAAUACAAAGUAAUCCACACUUCAUCGAUGGCGAUAUAGUCGAAAAGUGCGUACCUCCAACUGCAAAGUUUAGAUCGUCCAGCCAUGUUUCAUUUUCUUUAGAAGAAAACCAACCAUUAGUUUUUCCUUGAAACUGUCUGUGAAUAAUUGCCACUGAUUCCAGGAUAUCCACAGAAAGUUUCAAGCGGAUAUUUUGCUUAGCUUCUUCCAAAGAAAAAGCACAUAAGCGCAUAAAGCGGAGAAGUGUAAACGAUGGAACGGAGACACGCGCUUUCCGACCUCAGCCUUGAAAACUGUCAACUGUCUACUUCAAACUUCCAACUGUCCUUGGGAUGAACAAUAGUGUUUCCCUACAUAUUUCAAUAGGUGUUGUGAUUGGUUUAUUCGAUGACUCGGACCAAUCAUAGCACUUGACCUCGACAUUUUGACAGAGGGCCAGACACAUCGAUUGACAGACUGACAUAUACGACCCUCUGAGGGGACCCUCUAGACAGAUAAGAUAUUACUUAAAGCGCAACGCUAUUUGUUUUCACUUCAAAAUUCUACAAUUAAUUGACCAAUCCAAUUGGACUCGAUCCACUGUGCGCCGUUCAGGAGAACCUUGACUAAAACGAUACUUUCACGGGGCAACACUACAAGAAACCACCCGGACUUUUUCUUCAAAGGGUUUUCGUCCGCACAUACGCUUUUAUGAAGGGCGCAUAUUUGCUUGCACAGCGGAAAAGUGCGCCAGGAGGGAAAUCCGAAGAGAGGUUUUUCAACUUCCAAAAGAGCAAGGAGCAAGGGAUGGAAGAUGAGAGGGGGCGGGGGGCAAGAUAAGCAAUGGAUGUGUAGAGGUACCCGGCUCGCUUUUAAGACGUUACUUCGUCGUCCUCCCGACGAAAAGACGUAACCGCAAGUCGAGAUGAGCUUUGGUGUCCGUAUAACUUCAUGCUUCCCAUGGCUCACGCUGACUUCGAGUUAGGUCGUUUCGUCGGAGGAGCGACGACUUGUUAUUCCUCCCCGCUCCCUUGGGUGGGUUGCGAUGAUAAAGCGGCAAGUGAUAUAUGCGCGAAAGUUGGUAGCAAUGCGGCACGCUUCGUGGAGGGUUGAGAGGUGGAGGGGGAGUGCUAGGAGUCUUGGGUUAGACAAACAUUCGUAUCCUGAGUGCAUAUUUUGGGGGCGAGUUUGUCGGGUGGCUCAUAGAAUUCGUCGAUUUUGUGUAGAAUAUUGAACAUUUUUCUAAGAGAAAAAGAAGAAGAAAAAAUAAGGAUUAUCACAAUACGAGAAGCGUCCUCCCAGCGCGAAGAAGAGAGACGCGAUCAAGUCAGAAUGAGAAUGAAUCAUUCAGAUUUUGUCAAAACUGGGUGAAAAAAUAGGAUCAGUUUUAUUCCAAGGAAUAAUGUACAUUUAACUCUUUCGAUUUCUGAUUUUUUGAUGCUGAAUGAAAUUCAUACUAUGGCAUCUUCCCGUAACUCCGGGGAAAAAAUAUUUUCGAAGAGGAAAAAUAGAAAAAUUUUUGAGAAAAAAAUUAUUUUUCUAAGGAAUUAAAAUGCUUCUCCAGACAAAUUUUUUCCACGAAGAAAAAUGUUUUCUACAAUAAAUUGUUUUUCAUAAUUUUUUUCUCUUAAACAUUUUUUUUCCUCCAAGAAAAUAUUUUCCCCCAGGGUUACGGAAAUGAUGUCAUAUAUACCUCAUGGAAUGUUAACACUAACGAUUGCCUCGACUCUUCGGAAAAUUUGAAAUACAUCAGGAUGGUCAUAUUUGAUUUUGUAUUUGUUAGAAAAUAAUUGUUGAAAUUUUUUAUUUUUAUAUUUUAAACUGUACAGUAUUUAUUUAUUUUGUAUUAUAAUAUACAUUAAAUUUAGUAAUAGUUCCAUUAGUCUUCUUUUAUUUCCCAGUCAUGUUCCUUCCGGAGUCAUCUAGCGUCUGCAUACUUUUAUGCCUAAAAAUAGCCUAAAAUAAUAAUCUCUUAGAAAAACAAGGAGGAAAAACGAGAGACAAGGCUAAAAUACACACACCAAAAAAACCGAGACGUUUCGACUCAAAACUAAGUCAUUUUCUGUCGGAAAUGCAAUACAAAUUUUAAAAAAACGAUGAAAACUUGAGCCUGGCCACCACCGUGGAGGGUAGGGCUCAGGUUUUCAUGGUUUUUUUAAAGUUUUUAAUGUAUUUCCGACUGAAAAUGACUCAGUUUAAGUCGGAACGUCUCGGGUUUUUUUUUUAUUUUAUUUUUAUUUUUUAAAUUGUGUAUUUUAGCCUUGUUUCCCGUUUUCCCCCUUGUUUUUCUCCUGUUACAAUUGUUUUGAGCUGCUCUAUAAACUGUGUAUCUAAUAAUUUCUUGUUGUCACCUAUCUCUUUCACCUCUCUUCAACGUUUCUAUGUUAGGUACCCUCGUCUGUCA